GCCACAUGAUGAGGCCUAGAUCUCACGAGCACGUGUCGUGUGAAGAUGACCUCCAUCUAUCACCCAGGACUGAUGGCU
Molecule: small nucleolar RNA, 78 nt
Gene: SNORD83
Rfam family: Small nucleolar RNA SNORD83
About the family: U83 (SNORD83) and U84 (SNORD84) are members of the C/D class of snoRNA which contain the C (UGAUGA) and D (CUGA) box motifs.
Source: Ensembl